AGUGAACGCUGGCGGUAGGCCUAACACAUGCAAGUCGAACGGAAGCACAGUAAGCGUUUGCCCUUACGGGUGGCGAGUGGCGGACGGGUGAGGCAUACAUCGGAUUCUACUUUUUCGUGGGGGAUAACGUAGGGAAACUUACGCUAAUACCGCAUACGUCCUACGGGUGAAAUCAGUGGACCUUCGCACCUUGCGCGAUUGUAUUAGCCGAUGUCGGAUUAGCUAGUUGGCGAGGUAAAGGCCCACCAAGGCGACGAUACGUAGCUGGUCUGAGAGGAUGAUCAGCCACACUGGAACUGAGACACGGUCCAGACUCCUACGGGAGGCAGCAGUGGGGAAUAUUGGACAAUGGGCGAAAGCCUGAUCCAGCCAUACCGCGUGGGUGAAGAAGGCCUUCGGAUUGUAAAGCCCUGUUGUUGGGAAAGAAAAGCAGCAGGUGAAUACCCCGCUGUUCUGACGGUACCCAAAGAAUAAGCACCGGCUAACUUCGUG
Molecule: ribosomal RNA, 492 nt
Filed under: uncultured bacterium
Lineage: Bacteria
Description: partial 16S ribosomal RNA
Rfam family: Bacterial small subunit ribosomal RNA
Source: RNAcentral